Molecule: ribosomal RNA, 502 nt
Filed under: uncultured bacterium
Lineage: Bacteria
Description: partial 16S ribosomal RNA
Rfam family: Bacterial small subunit ribosomal RNA
Source: RNAcentral
GAUUAACGCUGGCGGCGUGCCUAACACAUGCAAGUCGAGCGGCAGCGCGUUUUACACUGAAUUCUGGAAGCUUCUAGUUGAAAGAGAAGAUUUAUUCAAGAAUUUUGUGUAAAAUGUCGGCGAGCGGCGGACGGCUGAGUGACGCGUGGGAACGUACCCCAAAGUGAGGGAUAACGCAUCGAAAGGUGUGCUAAUACCGCAUAUGGUCUUCGGAUUAAAGCCUUCGGGCGCUUUGGGAACGGCCUGCGUAAGAUUAGAUAGUUGGUGGGGUAAUGGCCUACCAAGUCGACGAUCUUUAACUGGUUUGAGAGGAUGAUCAGUCAGACUGGAACUGAGACACGGUCCAGACUCCUACGGGAGGCAGCAGUGAGGAAUCUUCCACAAUGGGCGAAAGCCUGAUGGAGCAACGCCGCGUGCAGGAUGAAGGCCUUCGGGUUGUAAACUGCUUUUAUAAGUGAGGAUUAUGACAGUAACUUAUGAAUAAGGAUCGGCUAACUACGUG